GAUGAACGCUAGCUACAGGCUUAACACAUGCAAGUCGAGGGGUAACGAGAGGAAAGCUUGCUUUCCUUGUCGACGACCGGCGCACGGGUGAGUAACGCGUAUCCAACCUGCCCCCAACUAGGGAAUAACCUUGCGAAAGUAAGACUAAUACCCUAUAAUUUCCUCAGAUGUCAUCUGACGAGGAAUAAAGAUUUAUCGGUUGUGGAUGGGGAUGCGUCUGAUUAGCUUGUUGGCGGGGUAACGGCCGACCAAGGCAACGAUCAGUAGGGGUUUUUAGAGGAAGGUCCCCCACAUUGGAACUGAGACACGGUCCAAACUCCUACGUGAGGCAGCAGUGAGGAAUAUUGGUCAAUGGGCGGAAGCCUGAACCAGCCAAGUAGCGUGCAGGAUGACGGCCCUAUGGGUUGUAAACUGCUUUUAUACAGGAAUAAAGUUAGCCACGUGUGGUUAUUUGUAGGUACUGUAUGAAUAAGGACCGGCUAAUUCCGUGCCAGCCGCCGCGGUAA
RNAcentral lists this ribosomal RNA (506 nucleotides) under uncultured bacterium. RNAcentral describes it as "partial 16S ribosomal RNA". It matches the Rfam family "Bacterial small subunit ribosomal RNA", at positions 28 to 523 of the family's 1533-position model. The record is from RNAcentral.